RNA transcript from Quercus lobata, 2310 nucleotides. It is a transcript of the gene named potassium transporter 5-like, with no coding region annotated. Lineage: Eukaryota; Viridiplantae; Streptophyta; Magnoliopsida; Fagales; Fagaceae. The record is from RefSeq and is a predicted model, not a curated record. The transcript is spliced from 7 exons.
AUGGAGGGUGUUGAUGCUAUAGAAGAAGAAAGCUCACAAGAAAAAAUUCAUGUAGAAGAAAAAGAACAAGAACAUGAAGUUGAUCAACCUGGGAUUCACAAUGGUCUCAAAUGUAAAAAACUCUCUUGGAAAAAUCUUAUUAGACUUGAUUCUUUUGAUUUGGAGGCUGAUAGAUUCACCUCCAAUCAAGGCCCUGGAUCUUCUCAAGCCUUGGAUUGGGGAAGCAUAAUGAAGCUAGCAUUUCAGAGCAUUGGGGUUGUGUAUGGUGAUUUGGGCACGUCGCCUUUGUAUGUGUUACCAGGCAUUUUUCCUACUGGGGUUAAGCACAAUGAUGAUAUACUUGGUGUGCUGUCUCUAAUCUUUUACUCGCUCAUGUUAAUUACUUUGAUCAAGUACGUUUUCAUUGUGCUGACGGCCAAUGAUAACGGCGAUGGAGGAACUUUCGCUCUAUAUUCUCUCAUAUGCCGCUAUGCCAAGGUCAGCUUGAUGCCUAACCAGCAGACUGAAGACAAAGAAGUGUCUAACUACUGACUAGAUGUGCCAAACCGAUGGCUGAAGAGAGCAUCCUUUAUUAAAUCUAUGCUUGAGAGUAACCAAAUACUAAAGUAUUUCAUCUUGUUCAUGACCAUGCUUGGCACCUCCAUGGUGAUUGGAGAUGGCAUCCUCACACCAUGCAUAUCAGUAUUGUUAGCAGUGGGGGGAGUUAAGGAAGCUACUAGUGCGCUUACUGAUAAUACGAUCAUGUGGAUUUCAAUAGGAAUCUUGAUUAUUUUGUUCCAAGUUCAGAGAUUUGGGACAGAUAAAAUUGGCUAUAGUUUUGCUCCAGUACUAAAAAUUUGGUUUCUUUUCAUUGGAACUAACGGCCUGUACAACUUUGUGAAGCAUGAUCCAGGGGUUAUCAAGGCAAUCAAUCCAAUGUAUAUUGUUGACUGUUUCAUUAGGAAUAAGAAGAAUGCAUGGAUCUCUCUUGGAGGCGUCAUCCUAUGCCUAAUAGGUUCUGAAGCAUUGUUUGCAGAUCUUGGUCACUUCAAUGUUUGUUCAAUUCAAAUAAGCUCAUGCACUAUAGUUUUUCCCUCGAUUGUUCUUGCCUACUUUGGUCAAGCUUCAUAUCUCCGGAAACACAAUCAGGAUGCUAGCAAUGCCUUUUAUAGUUCUGUUCCAAAACCACUGUACUGGCCAAUGUUUAUUGUGGUUGUAAUGGCAGCCAUCAUUGCUAGUCAGUCGUUAAUCUCCGCUUCUUUCUCCAUCGUCCAACAAUCUUUGGCCCUUAGGUGUUUCCCACGGGUUAAGGUAGUGCACACAUCUGCUAAAUACAAAGGGCAAGUUUAUGUACCAGAGAUCAACACCCUUCUCAUGCUGGCUUGUGUGGGUGUCACUCUUGGUUUCAAAAAUACAUUGAAGAUAGGGAACGCUUACGGAAUUGCAGUGGCAUUUGUAUUUACAAUCACAUCUUCGUUUCUUCUCCUUGUGAUGGUCAUGAUAUGGAAGACAAACAUCUACUUGAUCAUCAUGUAUGCUCUAACUAUAGGGCUCUUGGAAUUCCUAUUCUUGAGCUCAGUACUCUACAAGUUUGUUGAUGGAGGGUACCUUCCUCUAUUGUUUGCCUUGACUCUUGUGAUCAUUAUGUAUUUAUGGAACUAUGGCUAUUGGAAGAAGUACAAGUAUGAACUAGAAAACAAAGUUUCUACUCGUAAAUUGGUGGAGGUAGCCUCUAAUCCUAGCAUCCAUCGAGUUCCGGGUGUUGCCCUAUUUUACACUGAGCUUGUCCAUGGAAUUUCCCCUAUAUUCACCCACUAUGUUGCAAAUGUACCAGCUUUACACUCAGUUCUUGUCUUUGUUUCAAUCAAGUAUCUAACCAUUAGCACAGUCCCUCCAGAGGAACGCUUUUUGUUUGGACGAAUAGAGCAUCAUGAGCUAGGCAUUUUCCGAUGUGUUGUGAGGUAUGGAUAUAAGGAUUCAAGAUCUGAGUGUGAGUUUUUUUAAAGAGAUGUUGGUGAUCAAUUGAAGGAGUUCAUACGAAAUGAUCUGCUCAAGCCUAAUGAAUUAGCUGAUAACAAAGAAGUAGAAAAGGUUGAUGAAGAAACGGUGCAAAGAGAGAUGGGAAUUGUGGAUGAUGCACUAAAAUUUGGGGAUGUUGUUUAUCUAAUGGGUGAAAAUGAAGUGAUGGCUUCAAAGGGGUCUAGCCUUUUGAAGAAGUUAGCUAUAAACUAUGCCUAUAAUUGGUUGAAAAGAUGUGUGAGACAAGCAGAUGAAGUUUUCAUGAUUCCUCGCAAUCGUCUUCUCAAGGUGGGGAUGACUUAUGAGGUCUAG